This 208-nucleotide ribosomal RNA is filed under the name uncultured bacterium. Its description in RNAcentral is "partial 16S ribosomal RNA". It matches the Rfam family "Bacterial small subunit ribosomal RNA", at positions 524 to 732 of the family's 1533-position model. The record is from RNAcentral.
UACGUAGGGUGCGAGCGUUGUCCGGAAUUAUUGGGCGUAAAGGGCUCGUAGGCGGUUUGUCGCGUCGGGAGUGAAAACCAGGUGCUUAACACCUGGCUUGCUUUCGAUACGGGCAGACUAGAGGUAUUCAGGGGAGAACGGAAUUCCUGGUGUAGCGGUGAAAUGCGCAGAUAUCAGGAGGAACACCAGUGGCGAAGGCAGUCACUCG